UUUGGUAAACCACCGAGAGUGUUCUCCUAUGCAGAGUUAGAGCUUGCAACGUGUGGCUUUUCAAGGGCUAACUUCUUGGCUGAAGGUGGAUACGGAUCUGUACAUCGAGGUGUAUUACCUGAAGGGCAAGUGGUUGCGGUGAAGCAACACAAACUUGCCAGUUCUCAAGGAGAUGUAGAGUUUUGCUCCGAAGUUGAAGUUCUCAGUUGUGCUCAGCACAGAAACGUUGUUAUGCUGAUUGGUUUCUGCAUUGAAGAUGGGAGAAGGCUCUUGGUUUAUGAAUACAUAUGCAAUGGUUCACUUGACUCCCAUCUAUACGGUAACGUUCCCUUCCAUUUUGUGCUUCUUUGUGGUGGAGAAUGUUUUGCUCAGUAUCAAGCUCUUAUACAGGUCGCAAAAGGGAGACGCUGGAGUGGGCAGCACGGCAAAAGAUUGCUGUUGGAGCUGCGAGAGGUCUUAGGUAUCUUCAUGAAGAAUGCAGAGUUGGUUGUAUUGUCCAUAGAGACAUGCGUCCUAACAACAUCCUCAUCACUCAUGAUAAUGAGCCACUGGUAUAUAUACUACUCCUUCAGUUCCCAAAAGAAGGAUUUUCUAUAUUUACUUUUUGUUCCAAAAUGAUAGGUUUUCUAGAAUUUUAAGGUACUUUUAGUAGUGAAUUUUUUUGAUUAAGUUGUAUAAUUUUAAGAAAUAUUAAUUGAAUUUUUUUGAAUUAGUUAAAUACUAUAGGUUGAUAGUUAUUGGAAAACAUAUAGUAAAAUUAACAAGAAAUUUAUUUGUAAAUGUUCAUUAUAUUCUUAAAUACGCCUGAAUACUCUAGAAAAUCCUUCUUUCGGAAACAGUGGGAGUAUUAGUUUGGCUUUGCUCGUUCAUUGUAACAAUACAUGUUUGGACCUAAGUCACUUCUGUUUUUAAAUUAUAUCAGGUUGGAGAUUUUGGUCUAGCGAGAUGGCAGCCUGAUGGGGAACUAGGUGUAGAAACACGAGUGAUAGGAACGUUUGGGUGAGUCACAUCAACAAAAGCUAUCAUUUACUUCUUGAAACUUUGAACAUGUCUUUCUCUUGCUAUAGCAAAGUACUUUGUUGUUGUGCAGCUAUUUAGCUCCAGAGUCUGCCAGCACAAAGGGCCAGUGUUUGGUAAACCACCGAGAGUGUUCUCCUAUGCAGAGUUAGAGCUUGCAACGUGUGGCUUUUCAAGGGCUAACUUCUUGGCUGAAGGUGGAUACGGAUCUGUACAUCGAGGUGUAUUACCUGAAGGGCAAGUGGUUGCGGUGAAGCAACACAAACUUGCCAGUUCUCAAGGAGAUGUAGAGUUUUGCUCCGAAGUUGAAGUUCUCAGUUGUGCUCAGCACAGAAACGUUGUUAUGCUGAUUGGUUUCUGCAUUGAAGAUGGGAGAAGGCUCUUGGUUUAUGAAUACAUAUGCAAUGGUUCACUUGACUCCC
RNAcentral lists this long non-coding RNA (1439 nucleotides) under Brassica napus (rape). RNAcentral describes it as "long non-coding RNA (BNAP_LNC002572)". The record is from RNAcentral. Lineage: Eukaryota; Viridiplantae; Streptophyta; Magnoliopsida; Brassicales; Brassicaceae.